UACGUAGGGUGCAAGCGUUGUCCGGAAUUAUUGGGCGUAAAGAGCUCGUAGGCGGUCUGUCGCGUCGGCUGUGAAAAACUCGGGGCUCAACUCCGAGCUUGCAGUCGAUACGGGCAGGCUAGAGUUCGGCAGGGGGAGACUGGAAUUCCUGGUGUAGCGGUGAAAUGCGCAGAUAUCAGGAGGAACACCGGUGGCGAAGGCGGGUCUCUGGGCCGAUACUGACGCUGAGGAGCGAAAGCGUGGGGAGCGAACAGG
RNAcentral lists this ribosomal RNA (255 nucleotides) under uncultured bacterium. RNAcentral's name for it is "partial 16S ribosomal RNA". It matches the Rfam family "Bacterial small subunit ribosomal RNA", at positions 524 to 776 of the family's 1533-position model. The record is from RNAcentral.